CCUACGGGAGGCAGCAGUGGGGAAUAUUGGGCAAUGGAGGCAACUCUGACCCAGCAACGCCGCGUGAAUGAUGAAGGUCUUCGGAUUGUAAAGUUCUGUGAUGGGGGAUGAACACAAUGACGGUACCCCAAUAGCAAGCCACGGCUAACUACGUGCCAGCAGCCGCGGUAAUACGUAGGUGGCAAGCGUUAUCCGGAAUGACUGGGCGUAAAGGGUGCGUAGGUGGUUUAGUAAGUUGGCGGUGUAAUUCCGGGGCUCAACCUCGGCGCUACCGCCAAAACUAUUAGACUAGAGGGCAGGAGGGGAAAGUGGAAUGACUGGGGUAGGGGUGGAAGGCGGAGAUAUAAGGAGGAACAACAGGGGCGAAGGCGAGUGAAUGGGCUGUAACUAA
RNAcentral lists this ribosomal RNA (391 nucleotides) under uncultured bacterium. RNAcentral's name for it is "partial 16S ribosomal RNA". It matches the Rfam family "Bacterial small subunit ribosomal RNA", at positions 338 to 743 of the family's 1533-position model. The record is from RNAcentral.